Panicum virgatum (switchgrass) is the source of this 2091-nucleotide long non-coding RNA. RefSeq lists it as uncharacterized. NCBI's taxonomy places the organism in Eukaryota, Viridiplantae, Streptophyta, Magnoliopsida, Poales, Poaceae. The transcript has 4 exons. The record is from RefSeq and is a predicted model, not a curated record.
GCCCACCUGUCGCUACAUCCAUCUACGGCUUAUUCUCGUGCUCCCAAGCGAGCGACAAACCAGCCCAUUGUAUGGCACACUGCGGGGAGAUGGCGGAGGCAGAGAUCUGCUGCCGAUGGGGGGAUUCGUUUUGCGCCCAAGGUUCGCGCCUUCCUCACCCGCGAAAAUCUCUUCCACGCUCUCCCUGAAAUACUCCCGUUGCGCCCCCACAUCCAACCCUAGCUCCUGUUCCGGCCACCAUGUCGCGACAGGCAUGGAAGGAGGUGGUGGCGGCACAAGAUAUACUGAAGGUGAAUGAGGCUCGGAUGCGCAAGGCAGCUGCAGCGCAAUCGUGGAAGGAUGCGGCAGCACCAAUGCGGAAGGCCCAAGGAAGAGCUCGGGUGCCGCUUGUGCCGGAGCAGAGUAGUUCGGGUUAGGCGGUGCCUGUGCCAGAGCAGAGGAGUUUGGGAUAUGGCAUGGCUACUCCACCAGGGUCCUUCACCGAUGGCAGCUGCUUCUUCAACGGCAGCAUCGGUGGCUUCUUCGGCAGCACUGGACAAAGCCCCGUCGCUCAACCAUGGAAUCCACAAUCUUCAGAUCCUGCAAUAUAGUACUCUCUCGCAGUUUUACUCAAUAUUUAUGUUUCUGAUGUGAAGCAAUGUGAGCACGAUUUUUUUCCUUGAUGGAUUCAGUAAUGGUACUCUGUCUCAAUUAUGUUGCUGGUAGUUGUUAUCAUGAAUUAUUUCAAGUUUUUAUGAUUGUAGGGACUAGCAACAUUCAUAUGCUUGUAAAGGAGGCUUACUGUUUGCUUCCUACUGGAGAACCUUCUCAGUUUGCCCCAUUGAAGCCACCACAGAGUUCACAAGAUUUUCAAUUAGAAGAAGAAUUCUCGAAUCCAAAUUCAUCAAGGGACAAUACAUAUGUUAAUGUUGACAGCAGUGAUGAGGCACCUGGGAUUGAGAAGCGAAUCUUCUGGACUCAAGAAGACGUCAGGAUGAUGAGCUCUUGGCUGCUUAAUUCAACAGACUCAACCAUUGGUGCUGAUAGGAAGAAUGACCAAUAUUGGACUGAUGUGGAGGCUACAUACAAGACUAAGUCAUAGGAGAAGAAAUGCCAAGCAAAUGAAGGACCGUUUUCAUAAGGUAAAUAAGUGGUCUGACAUUUUUCCAUAGUGAUUGGUUGAAGGGUAGAAUGAUUUAUACAAGUUGAUAUAAUGAUCAAAUUUGGAUUGAGAAGGCCCAUGUAUUGUGUAUAAAAGACAAUGAGAAACUCAAUCUAGGUCCUUUUGUGUUGAUGGAAGUAUGGAACACAUUAAAAACUAAAGCAAAGUGGAUUACAUACAAGAAUGGGCUUAAAGCUGCAAGAAAAAGAAAGGGCUUAGGCAAGGAGAAGGAAGUAGAGGAUAGUAGCCCUUUAGAUGUAGAUGAACUAGAUGAAGAACCAAGACCAAUGGGGCAAAACGGCUGCUGAAAAGCUAAAAUAUGCCAAAAGUAAGGAGGUAGACCAUAUUGAUCUUGAGGAGCUGGAUAAAUUUGGUAAAAUUCAGUGUGAAGAGCAUGCAAACAGACUAAAAGUAUUGGAAGUGCAGAAAAAGUUAACAAUCUGAGAAGAUCGAACAAGCAAGGCUUGCCCAUCUUGCAGCAAAGGAUCAAAAAGUGGCAGCAGAGAUUCAAAGGGAGGCAAGAAAAUAUGAAUUAGAGACUAAGAUGUCUGACACAUACAACUGCCUUGUCAGUGGACGUUUCUUUGAGGUCCGAUGAAGAAAAGUUGGGUCGUGCAAAUACUAUGAGGUGUUUCCAAAAGAAAUUAUUUGCUGAUAAUUGAGGUUAUAAAAUCUAUCAUUUUGGAGACAUGACCAUUUCUGGAACAUGACCAUGGAGGCUGAUUUGUUGCUGUUGCUGUCGGUUCUUUUACUAGUGUGAACUGUCAAUUGAGAACUGAAGUAUGUCAAUUCUGAACUGAAGUACUAUUUUCUUAUUGUCAAUUGUGAACUGAAGUAACAUUUCUUGUCGCUGUCAAUUGUGAACUGUCCAAUGAAAUAGGGACUCUAUUAUUAUAUCAUAUCAUGUAUUCCUGAGACCAUUUCAUAUGAAUAUACAUUAUACUUGCUUA